RNAcentral lists this ribosomal RNA (919 nucleotides) under uncultured bacterium. RNAcentral describes it as "bacterial SSU rRNA". It matches the Rfam family "Bacterial small subunit ribosomal RNA", at positions 470 to 1400 of the family's 1533-position model. The record is from RNAcentral.
UGACGGUACUUGAGGAGGAAGCCCCGGCUAACUACGUGCCAGCAGCCGCGGUAAUACGUAGGUGGCGAGCGUUAUCCGGAAUGAUUGGGCGUAAAGGGUGCGUAGGUGGCAGAACAAGUCCGGAGUAAAAGGUAUGGGCUCAACCCGUACUGGCUCUGGAAACUGUUCAGCUAGAGAACAGAAGAGGACGGCGGAACUCCAUGUGUAGCGGUAAAAUGCGUAGAUAUAUGGAAGAACACCGGUGGCGAAGGCGGCCGUCUGGUCUGUUGCUGACACUGAAGCACGAAAGCGUGGGGAGCAAAUAGGAUUAGAUACCCUAGUAGUCCACGCCGUAAACGGUGAGAACUAGGUGUUGGGGGAAUAACUCAGUGCCGCAGUUAACGCAAUAAGUUCUCCGCCUGGGGAGUAUGCACGCAAGUGUGAAACUCAAAGGAAUUGACGGGGCCCGCACAAGCGGUGGAGUAUGUGGUUUAAUUCGAAGCAACGCGAAGAACCUUACCAGGCCUUGACAUCCCUUGCAGAGGUAUAGAGAUAUAUCCGAGGUUAUCAAGGAGACAGGUGGUGCAUGGUUGUCGUCAGCUCGUGUCGUGAGAUGUUGGGUUAAGUCCCGCAACGAGCGCAACCCUUGUGAUAUGUUACUAACAUUGAGUUGAGGACUCAUAUCAGACUGCCGGUGAUAAACCGGAGGAAGGUGGGGAUGACGUCAAAUCAUCAUGCCCCUUAUGGCCUGGGCUACACACGUACUACAAUGGCGUCUACAAAGAGCGGCAAGCCUGUGAAGGCAAGCGAAUCUCAUAAAGGACGUCUCAGUUCGGAUUGAAGUCUGCAACCCGACUUCAUGAAGCUGGAAUCGCUAGUAAUCGCGAAUCAGCAUGUCGCGGUGAAUACGUUCUCGGGCCUUGCACACACCGCCCGUCAA